GACGAACGCUGGCGGCGUGCCUAACACAUGCAAGUCGAACGGAACUGUUUUGAAUGAUUUCUUCGGAAUGAAUUUGAUUUACUUUAGUGGCAGAGGGGAGAGUAACGCGUGAGUCCCCUGCCUUCCAGAGGGGGAUAACAUUCAGAAGAGAGUGCUAAUACCGCAUGAUAUAUCAGAACCACGUGGUUUUGAUAUCAAAUAUUUUAGUCGCUUGAAGAUGGACUCGCGUCCGAUUAGGUAGGUGGUGAGGUAACGGCUCACCGAGACCACGAUCGGCAGCCGGACUGAGAGGUUGAGCGGCCUCGUUGGGACUGAGACGCCGACAAUACUCCUACAGGAGGCAGCCGUGGGGGAUAUUGCGCAAUGGGGGCAACCCUGAAGCAGCAACGCCGCGUGAAGGAUGAAGGUAUUCGGAUUGUAAACUUUUUUUCUUCAGGACGAAAAAUGACGGUACUUAAUGAAUAAGCUCCGGCUAACUACGUGCCAGCAGCCGCGGUAAUACGUAGGGAGCAAGCGUUGUCCGGAUUUACUGGGUGUAAAGGGUGCGUAGGCGGCUUUGCAAGUCAGAUGUGAAAUGUAUGGGCUCAACCCAUAAACUGCAUUUGAAACUGUAGAGCUUGAGUGAAGUAGAGGCAGGCGGAAUUCCCCGUGUAGCGGUGAAAUGCGUAGAGAUGGGGAGGAACACCAGUGGCGAAGGCGGCUUGCUGGGCUUUAACUGACGCUGAGGCUCGAAAGCGUGGGUAGCAAACAGGAUUAGAUACCCUGGUAGUCCACGCCGU
This 779-nucleotide ribosomal RNA is filed under the name uncultured bacterium. RNAcentral describes it as "bacterial SSU rRNA". It matches the Rfam family "Bacterial small subunit ribosomal RNA", at positions 28 to 803 of the family's 1533-position model. The record is from RNAcentral.